Phoenix dactylifera (date palm) is the source of this 125-nucleotide small nuclear RNA. NCBI's taxonomy places the organism in Eukaryota, Viridiplantae, Streptophyta, Magnoliopsida, Arecales, Arecaceae. The record is from RefSeq and is a predicted model, not a curated record.
GGGUUUGUUGAAAGGAGAGAUUGGCAUCUCUCUUGACAAGGAUGGCAACGACCUUUGCCCUUUGGGCUUCAUGUUACACAUAUGGUUAAGGCUACCUGCUUCUACAAAUCUUACCCACAAUUUUC